This is an RNA transcript of Zea mays, 1334 nucleotides long. It is a transcript of the gene named 40S ribosomal protein S4-like, with no coding region annotated. The transcript is spliced from 7 exons. The record is from RefSeq and is marked validated. NCBI's taxonomy places the organism in Eukaryota, Viridiplantae, Streptophyta, Magnoliopsida, Poales, Poaceae.
CAAUGUUGUUUGUGAGGAUUUUUGAGGUGUGAGGUAGAGCACAUUAGGAUCACCUUUUUUGCAAACUCACAUUUUAUGAGAAUGCCAAGGGCACCACCUGUCUGUAGCAUGAUGUCCUUCAGUGUUUUAACUCCAUACUUCAAAGAGGAGGUGCUCUUUUCACCAGAAGAUCUUCAUAGGAAAAAUGAGGAUGGUAUAUCAAUACUGUUCUACCUACGGAAAAUAUAUCCAGAUGAAUUUAGGAACUUCCUUCAACAGAUAGAUUUUAAACUGAAGGAUGAAGAAGAACUUAAAGAAACGAUGGAUGAGAUCUGUAAUUGGGCAUCUUAUAGGGGUCAAACUCUCACCAGAACAGUAAGAGGAAUGAUGUACUACAGAAAGGCACUUGAAAUCCAAUGCCUUCAAGAUAUGAUAGAUCCUGCUAAAGUUGACCAAGACAGAUCAAUAGGAUCCUACCAAGAGUUGCAAUCUGAUAUUGAAAUGGCACAAGCUAUUGCUGAUAUCAAAUUCACCUAUGUUGUCUCAUGUCAAGUUUAUGGCAUGCAAAAGACAUCAAAGGAUUUAAAUGAAAAAGGCGCUAUCAGAAUAUCCUCAGUCUCAUGAUAAUGAACCCAUCACUACGAGUUGCUUUCAUUAAUGAGGUCGAAGCUCCAACCAGAAAUGGAGCAACUGAGAAGACAUUAUUCCGUUCUUGUCAAAGGUGGUGGAAAGUAUGAUGAGGAAAUUUACAGCAUAAAGCUUCCUGGCAAUCCAACAGAUAUUGGAGAGGGAAAACCUGAAAACCAAAAUCAUGGACUUAUCAAGUUUGAUGUCGGCAACGUGGUCAUGGUGACCGGCGGGAGGAACACCGGGCGUGUAGGAGUGAUCAAGAACAGGGAGAAACACAAGGGCAGCUUUGAGACCAUCCAUGUCGAGGACUCCAUGGGCCACCAGUUCGCCACCUGCAUGGGCAACGUGUUCACCAUCGGCAAGGGCAACAAGCCGUGGGUGAGCCUGCCCAAGGGCAGGGGUAUCAAGCUCAGCAUCAUCGAGGAGUAGAGGAGGCGCGAUUUCAUUGCCCAGGCUGCUGCCAACGCAUAAGUUCUCUGAACGUGCUGCUUGGAGUUUUUUGCUAUGUCUAGUUUUCUCCUAUUUGUUGUACAUGAAAAGAUAGGAGAAGAUAGAAUGGAAUUUAAAUUUGGUGGCCGCAAAAGUGUGGAAACUUAAAUUCAUAUAAAGUUAGGCUUAACAUUAGUGCAAACAGUUGUAUUUUAGUUUAGAUUUAGAGUACACUUAUGUAUGAGUUGUUUGACAAUGCUUAUUUAUGAGAUAUUGAAAGGUACUUAUUUAUAUUA